Rana temporaria (common frog) is the source of this 935-nucleotide long non-coding RNA. RefSeq lists it as uncharacterized. NCBI's taxonomy places the organism in Eukaryota, Metazoa, Chordata, Amphibia, Anura, Ranidae. The record is from RefSeq and is a predicted model, not a curated record. The transcript is spliced from 4 exons.
CUGCGGCGCGCACACAUGAUGAGGAGAUGCGCGGCUGCUGCGGAUGACGUCACACGCACCUUCGUGCACUACGUCCUCUCCGCACUGAGCGAGUCCCUAUAUAAACCCCCGUACACAAGCCAGAAUUGCUGCAGUCUCUCGGGAGACUCAUGGAGGAGAGUGCCAUCGCACAUACUGAACCAGGCUUAUCAUUGCCUUAAUCCUUGGCUACCAGCCGGCAUCCAGCUCUGGUUUCUCAUUUCUACUACCAGGAAAUGUUACAUGUAUUGAGGAUUGUUAGAGGGUAGUGAUCGCUCUCUGCCUUCUCCCUUCUCCUCAAGCCCUGUCCUCCUUCAUUGAAGACUGUUAUUAUUUAGUUUAUGCGGGUCAUUUCCCUACACUUUUUACAACGUCCAGCAGCCCGGACACAGUCUAUUUCUUAUCUUAUUUUAUUGACAGAAAAUUUAUAUAUUGAUCCCCCUACCAACCAACACUAUCUUUAAAACUACAUUGCUGACUCCGUGAGGAAGCGCUGCUAAAGCGCGAAACCGGUCGAGUCCACCUACGCAGCAAGCCAAACCACCGCAGACAUUUCUCUGCCUGCAUUUCCACAACGUGACAGGACCACUAAUUACAUUCAUGCACCUUAUUCCAAAUACUUUUGGAAGUGUUCAAUUUUAUUGUUGAUAUUUUGUUAUAAUUUAUGUAUAUAUUCCUGUCAAUGUUCAUGGAUAGGCUUGCCUAGAUUAGCCUGUUAGAUGGUUUUUUGUGCUGGAAACGGCAAUACUCUUUCUUCUGUAUUUUUCUACACAUUAUGAUAUUUUAUAUCUAAAUAAACAAAUCUACUUUUUAGAAAAAAUUCUUUUCUUGUAUAUAUAUUCUGACCAACCAAAUCGUGCCUAAAAAGUCCAAAAACUAGCCCCUAGUUCCCUCCUUUAUCAUUUAUACUAGGACGC